AACGCACAUUGCGCCCAUCAGUAUUCUAGUGGGCAUGCCUGUUCGAGCGUCAUUUCAACCCUUAAGCCUCUGUUGCUUAGUGUUGGGAGCCUACGGUGUUGUAGCUCCUCAAAUAUAGUGGCGGAGUCGGUUCACACUCUAGAUGUAGUAGAUUUUAUCUCGCCUUUGAGUUGGACCGGUCCCUCGCCAUAAAACCCCCCUAUUUUUUAAUAUCAAGGUUGACCUCGGAUCAGGUAGGAAUACCCGCUGAACUUAA
Molecule: unclassified non-coding RNA, 256 nt
Filed under: uncultured fungus
Lineage: Eukaryota; Fungi
Description: sequence contains ITS2
Source: RNAcentral